This 492-nucleotide ribosomal RNA is filed under the name uncultured bacterium. RNAcentral's name for it is "partial 16S ribosomal RNA". It matches the Rfam family "Bacterial small subunit ribosomal RNA", at positions 28 to 523 of the family's 1533-position model. The record is from RNAcentral.
GACGAACGCUGGCUGCGUGCUUAACACAUGCAAGUCGAACGCUGAAACCCUGGUGCUUGCACCGGGGUGGAUGAGUGGCGAACGGGUGAGUAACACGUGAGUAACCUGCCCCCGACUUCGGGAUAAGCCCGGGAAACUGGGUCUAAUACCGGAUAUGAGCGCCCCUCGCAUGAGGGAUGCUGGAAAGUCUUUUCGGUUGGGGAUGGGCUCGCGGCCUAUCAGUUUGUUGGUGAGGUAAUGGCUCACCAAGACGACGACGGGUAGCCGGCCUGAGGGGGCGACCGGCCACACUGGGACUGGGACACGGCCCAGACUCCAACGGGAGGCAGCAGUGGGGAAUAUUCCACAAUGGGGGAAACCCUGAUGCAGCGACGCAGCGUGCGGGAUGACGGCCUUCGGGUUGUAAACCGCUUUCAGCAGGGAAGAAGCCCCUUGGGGUGACGGUACCUGCAGAAGAAGUACCGGCUAACUACGUGCCAGCCGCCGCCGUAA